This 107-nucleotide non-coding RNA is filed under the name uncultured Blautia sp. Its description in RNAcentral is "FMN riboswitch (RFN element)". It matches the Rfam family "FMN riboswitch aptamer (RFN element)". Rfam says of the family: The RFN element is a highly conserved domain that is found frequently in the 5'-untranslated regions of prokaryotic mRNAs that encode for flavin mononucleotide (FMN) biosynthesis and transport proteins. This element is a metabolite-dependent riboswitch that directly binds FMN in the absence of proteins. The record is from RNAcentral. Lineage: Bacteria; Bacillati; Bacillota; Clostridia; Lachnospirales; Lachnospiraceae.
AUCUUCAGGGCAGGGUGCAAGUCCCUACCGGCGGUAAAGCCCGCGAGCCGAAAGGCAGAUCCGGUGAGAUUCCGGAGCCGACAGUAAAGUCUGGAUGAAAGAAGAUG